This 5108-nucleotide long non-coding RNA is filed under the name Equus asinus (donkey). Its description in RNAcentral is "lncRNA (ENSEASG00005038031.1)". Lineage: Eukaryota; Metazoa; Chordata; Mammalia; Perissodactyla; Equidae. The record is from RNAcentral.
UCUCUUUUUUUCUUUUAGAUUUGGGGCUCUUGAAACAUUCUGAGUAUGUUUGCGGGGGGUCCCAGAGGAGUUGUCCUGAAAGCUGCUCGGAGCAGCCACCUUUGCUGUCGCCCAGGCCUUGCCGGGUCGGCUCUGGCCGGCUGUCUGUGCUGCGGCUCCCGAGGCACCCCACCCCCGUCGGCCUCCUGCAACCAGGGUAGGAGGAUUGGGUUGGAGGGUCGAGUGCCGGGGGAGGGGGUCUUGUUUGUUUUUUAAAAAUUUUGUUUUUAUUUCUAUGGAGGACUACUCCUGGCGCUAGAAGGGUGCAGCAGUUGGCCCCAAAGUGGCCUGUGACUUGCCCAUCCCCCCUGUGCCAGGCAGCAGAGGGUGUUAGCUCUGGGAACACUAGCUGACAGGGCAUUUGCUUUGGGCCUGGGGUCCAGCCGAGGCCCAGGAAGCCGCCUCUGUGCGCACUUGCCCCGGGUGUUGCAGCGUGCGUGUGGGGGGUGUGUGGGGGGGGAGAUGGGCCGUCGCCAUGUCCCCCUCGCGCCUCCUUCCCUUCUCGUGAGGGCGGGUGUGGACGCAGUGAAGCAGUCCGUGAACCAGCCCCACGCGGAGGGGUCGAAGGAACAGCCUCAUCUGUUAAAUGGGCUCUGGGCACCCCGGCCGACGGCCCCCUCCCCUCCUCUGAGCAGGCGCGAGGUGGCCCGGGAGCCCGGCCAGCAGCCCCCGCCCCUCAGGCGGAGCUCGGGCCCUGGCAAUCUCUGCACUUUGUCAUCACGCCCGAGUAUUUGACAUUCGCAAUUAUCUGCAAAUACCCUGAUCGGUUUGUAUAUGAAACACUUUUUUUCCUGCCUUAAGGUUGGAAUCUGGUAAGUUUCAGACAAGUGGUUGCGGGGGGAGGUGACCCGGGGGACCGCGGGGGACCGGCCCGGUGAACCUGACUCGGCGAGGUGGGCGACCAGAAGAGCCGGGUCUGCGUGCCGCCCCCUGCCCCCAGCCCGGCGCGGAGGAAAGACUGGCGGAGGUGCGGCAGGCUCAGGCCGCGACCCUCGGGUCCUCCUGUGAAAGGAGCGCCCCCUAAUCCCUGCGAGCGGACGCCGAAGGGGGAGCGGGGAUCCCACCAGAGGGAAGGCCCAGAGGUUAAUCAUCUUGAUAACCGGAAAGGGCGCUGCCCGGCCUGGCUGCCAUCACAGAGCGUGUCAGUCACCAGCUCUCAAUCCCGCCACAGAAUUACCUGCUCACAGAGCCAUCCCGGGGAGCGCUCUGCUCCGCGCUCUUCCCGCCCGCCGCCUGCGGGAAGGACACCGUGUCCUAGUCCGAAAGAAGCGGAUGUCGCUUUGACCCUCCUCCGCCCCCAGACGGUUCCUAAAUCCAGGAGGGCAAUGCCAGCCCUGGAUCGCUCAGAACUGCUACAUCGCAGCUUCGGGCCACCUGCCUAUUACUUAGCCCGUCUACAAAAAGAAAAAUAGAAAAAGCGGGGCGGGAGAGGAAAAAGGAGCGAGAUUACUUGUCUGAUUUAUCUCUGCCUUAGGAACCUGGUCCUGGCCGCUGGCGGAGCCGAGGGCCUCGAGCCUGGGUACUGGGAGGCCAGACCCUGCCCGCCAGAGGUGCACACAGCCUGGGUGCCCCCGGCUCGGUGUCUCACUGGCCAAGAAGCCGAGCUCCUUUGCAGCGGGUGUCAGCAACUUUAGAAACAGCAAACUCUUCAGCGAAGCCCCCUCCCCACGCACUGAGCUCGCGGCUCUGCUACAGACGCGGGUUUAGGCGCCUUUCACAUACACUACUCACGUUUUCCGAGAAAAUGGGGAGAGGAGCACAUUAAAGAAAGGUGGGGGGGGGAUACUGCAACACUUUCAAGAAAAACUAGGGGUGGGGUGGGAAGGGAGUUUAGAAAGGCUGUCUGUAACAGCCCAGCUGCCAAAUCCCUGGCUGUUCUGAAAAGGAAGAAGGAGAGAAGCAGGCGGGAAAGGACUCCCUUCCUCCUCCCAGCCAUCUCCCUCUCAGCGCCCCCAGCCCAGGACACCCGGGCUGGGAACCCGAGAGUGUGCUCCUAGGAAGACAUCAGCCCUUCCGCCUCCAGCUCAGCCCAGGUGGGCAAGAAAGCGCGGGAGACUCGAGAAAGCUGUUACGGUCUCCCGCGGCGCCCUUGACCCCUGAGAGCCCCACACAGGAAAGGCAGCUGAGGGACUUCUCUACUCACAGGUCGCAGCCCCUGCCCGAGACUUCCUGGGAAGCAACCCGCAACGCCCACAGCAUUGGCCUCCUUUCCCCGACUCCUUGGAGAUUGGUCUGCGGCUUGAGUCCGGCUGCAGACACCCACUCCGGCCCUUAGAUUAGACCUGCCUUGGGCGUGGACGCCAAGGUGCGGUACCGAGGCCCCAAGCUGCGCCGAGGCUGGCGAGUUUCUGCCUGGGUCGGGAGAGGGGGUCCCAACAGCGGAGCCCGCUGCAGUCUGGUGACACCUACUGCGCCUCGCACUGCCUCCACGACGGCCCUUGGCCUGCGGAGAAGGAGGCAAGGGCAAGAUGCUCCGUGGCGGGUCAAACCUUCGCCCCUUUAUCUCCUACCAUGCUUUUCAUGUCCAUAUCUUUGUUAGUUAGGUGUAUGACUGCUAUAUUCCAGCGGCUUAUCCUACAUAAAAUACCCCACGGCUUGGGCGAGACUUUGCAAAUUUGGCAUCCCAGGUGAGCGGUCUUGAGUAUUCUGUGCCCUAUCCACCCACCUCGCCCGUGGGUACUCAGGGCAGCGCCCACUUGGCAGAACUGAUGGCCGUUCAGGCCUAGCAGAGUGCGCAUCGCCAAACCUGCACGUCCAAAAUGCAUCCUCGCCUCGCCGGAACGCUGAGCCGCGCAACUCUAAAGGAGCCCGCAUUCCGGAGCACGUGCAAGCAUCCUCCCGCUUUGAAAUGAAUUCGCGCUGCGUCUUUCAUCCCCAAAGGAAAAGCCUUUGGGGCGCUACUCAGACCGAAGACCUGGGAGAGAGAAGUCCCGAAGGCGGGGACCAGGGGCUUGGGCACUCUUCUGCUCACCUGGACUUGAGACACUCGAAGGCCCGAUUAACCAUCGGUUGUAUCAGGGCCGAUGGGUUCAAAGUGGCUGCGCCUCGCGGAGGCGCUCACUCCCCGGGUCCGGGUCUCCGAGGGCAUCUGGAAUCUGGGUGGGUUGUGCUGACUACCUGCAGCGCGCGCGGAUCCCAGGCCAGGAAAAAGGGCGCCGUGUAACGGGGACGGUCGGUUACCUCUCCAGGGAUCUGCCCUGACUUUGUUCGUAAUUUAAGAAGCCUCUGAACUCGGGGAGCGCUUGUUGGGGCACCUCCCUGCACACACACGCCCCCUCCUUCCCGGGCCUCGUAUCUUUCCCUCCACUCUCCCGUUCCCCCCACCCCCAACCCCGCGGCCCCGCCCGUUAGAGGCGCGCAGCGGGCACUCGGUUUACAGAGCCGCCGGUUCAGAUGUUUAUUCGCAGCUAAUUGCUGGUGCAGGAAAAUGCUUGCUACCCCGGCCGAGCGCUUCCGCCCUGUGCUGGCCGAUCCCGCCGGCGGCAGCUCGCUGAUCCCACCCGCGAAGCCACGGAGGAACCGGCGGCAGGGAGGCGGCUGUGCCACCCUGGGCCGGGCUACCGGCGCUGCCCCGGACUCCCGGUAGGGGGAGCCGCCGCGGGCACCAGGCCAGCCCGGCUCCAGGCCUCAGGUCGGCCCUGCUGCCAGCAGCCACCCGGAACGCAGAACGUGGGCGGCCUCCUCACCUGCCCUCCAGGUGCGUGCGGCCAGCAGAGAAGGGAACACAGGGCCGAGCCGGCUCCUCGUUCCCGGCUGUUGCAUCGCAAAGAAGCUACGCGAGACCUAAGUGCAUUCUUUAGGUCCAAAUAUAGUUAGGAAAAUUGGUAGGUAAGGAGAUCACCUCCUUUGCCCAUGCCUCUUAACACCAGUGAUUAAGAAUUCCUCUUAAUUCCACAAAUUUUGAGGCUUAUUUUAAAAAUUUUAGAUGAUCUAAUCCCUUCUCACUGUGUUUCCGAGUCAUUUAUUUCCAGGAGUUUCAGAUGGUCCCAGCACAAAAUAGGAGCUCAGAGGAGACCAGCUGGCUUUGCUGCCGGAUCACCGACCACUCCUCUCCCUUUCUGACUCUAUGUGCUCAAUAAAGGUUCCGCAGCUUUCAUUUUAAGAGAUGGCCAAUGUUGAGAGAGCAACCCUAACCCAGGGUCAAGGGGAAAGCAGCUAGGCGGACUGUGACCCCACAGGGCACCCCCCCCCCCAAAGGGCCCGGCGCAGCAGCACACCUAUGCUGAAGGGCCGGAGACUUCCGGCUCGCUACUCCCACAGAUGAAACAUGCAAGCCCUCCUUCUACAGAAACUCGUCCUUCCAGAGCAAGCCCCAACUCAUGAGAGCUCUCUUAAGGCCGAGUCCUUAAAGUCUCUCCACAGAGAAUUACAAAAGCAAAGAAUUUCACACUUGGAAGGAAACUUAAAGACCAUCUAGCUCAACUGAUGUAGUUUGCUGGCGAGGAACUUAAGCUGAGUGGAGGCAAAGAAUCACACUUCAGAACAUCAGAUACGUGCAAAUACAUGAAUGAAUGAACGAAACAGAAGAAAAACCACAGGAUUGUUGGCAUUAUCAAGAUUAGCCCUGAGCUAACAUCUGCUGCCAAUCCUCCUCUUUUUGCUGAGGAAGACUGGCCCUGAGCUAACAUCCAUGCCCAUCUUCCGCUACUUUAUAUGUGGGACGCCUACCACAGCAUGGCAUGCCAAGCGGUGCCAUGUCCGAACCCGGGAUCCGAACUGGCCAACCUGGGCCGCCCAAGCAGAACAUACGAACUUAACUGCUACACCACCGGGCCAGCCCCUCUGGUGUCAUUUUUAAAAACUAAGAGGAAAGAAUAUUUACAUUUCUAAAAUCAGAUUUAAAAAGGUCUAAUUUCUAAGAAGUUGAUUUAGCCACAGUAGGGGAAACUUUUUGAAUGAAAUAUUACAGGAUAAGCCUAAAAAACACUCCCCACUGGCUUUGUAAUAAACCCUGAGAUGUAAAUGAUAGUUUAUCAUUCUCUCCAUAAUUACCCUCUUUUUACUUUUUGAUAAGAUCAACACAAAAAUUAUUAUUUACAAGGACACUCCACUAUUCCUUUCUGUAUCUG